This 628-nucleotide ribosomal RNA is filed under the name Bacillus anthracis (anthrax bacterium). Its description in RNAcentral is "partial 23S ribosomal RNA". It matches the Rfam family "Bacterial large subunit ribosomal RNA", at positions 2301 to 2925 of the family's 2925-position model. Lineage: Bacteria; Bacillati; Bacillota; Bacilli; Caryophanales; Bacillaceae. The record is from RNAcentral.
CGGAGGCGCCCAAAGGUUCCCUCAGAAUGGUUGGAAAUCAUUCGUAAGAGUGCAAAGGCAUAAGGGAGCUUGCUGCGAGACCUACAAGUCGAGCAGGGACGAAAGUCGGGCUUAGUGAUCCGGUGGUUCGCAUGGAAGGGCCAUCGCUCAACGGAUAAAAGCUACCCCGGGGAUAACAGGCUUAUCUCCCCCAAGAGUCCACAUCGACGGGGAGGUUUGGCACCUCGAUGUCGGCUCAUCGCAUCCUGGGGCUGUAGUCGGUCCCAAGGGUUGGGCUUUCGCCCAUUAAAGCGGUACGCGAGCUGGGUUCAGAACGUCGUGAGACAGUUCGGUCCCUAUCCGUCGUGGGCGUAGGAAAUUUGAGAGGAGCUGUCCUUAGUACGAGAGGACCGGGAUGGACGCACCGCUGGUGUACCAGUUGUUCUGCCAAGGGCAUAGCUGGGUAGCUAUGUGCGGAAGGGAUAAGUGCUGAAAAGCAUCUAAGCAUGAAGCCCCCCUCAAGAUGAGAUUUCCCAUAGCGUAAGCUAGUAAGAUCCCUGAAAGAUGAUCAGGUUGAUAGGUUCGAGGUGGAAGCAUGGUGACAUGUGGAGCUGACGAAUACUAAUAGAUCGAGGACUUAACCAUAUAA